Long non-coding RNA from Alligator sinensis (Chinese alligator), 302 nucleotides. RefSeq lists it as uncharacterized. The record is from RefSeq and is a predicted model, not a curated record. NCBI's taxonomy places the organism in Eukaryota, Metazoa, Chordata, Crocodylia, Alligatoridae. The transcript has 3 exons.
CAAUAUUUCAAAUUUAAUUGAACCGAUGACAUGAGUGACAGAAAUGGGGAGCGUAUGGUGUACACGUACAUAGCACUCAUAAGCCUGCAGGAAAGACACACAAAUGAAUUGCAUCAGAACAAGCAUAUAUCCUUUUACAGUACAUUGUACUGCACAGUAUGGUGACAAAUGAGGAUGAUCUACAUGAUGAGAGAUAUAUUUUCCAGUUUUGAGCAAAAAGAUCAUAGUUUUCCAGGGUGACCCUAUGGAACAGCCAGUGGAAUCAAUGGAUGUCAGGAUGGGACAAGUAUCCCCCUCUGGUU